Molecule: long non-coding RNA, 360 nt
Filed under: Hordeum vulgare
Lineage: Eukaryota; Viridiplantae; Streptophyta; Magnoliopsida; Poales; Poaceae
Description: long non-coding RNA (HVUL_LNC009823)
Source: RNAcentral
AGAGUGUCGAACCCAAAGAGGAGCGGAAGGAAAUGACAAGUGGUUUUCAACAAAGUAAUUUCCGCAGGUAUUGAAAUAGCGGUAACAAGUUGUUUGAUAGCAAGAUAACUAUAACAAGUGACAAGUAGCAAUAGUAACAAUAGGCAUAGCAAGGUAUCCCAAUCCUUUUGUGGCAAAGGACAGGCCAGAACAAUUUCUUAUAAUAGGCAAAGCAUUCUUGAUGACACACAGGAAUUUCAUCUAGUCACUUUUCGUCAUGUUGGGUUAACUCGCGUUCGGUAUUUUGAUAAUUUGAUUUGUGUGUGGACUGGUGCUUGGGUUCUGAUCUUACUUGAACAAACCUCCCACUUAUGAUUAACC